Molecule: ribosomal RNA, 419 nt
Filed under: bacterium
Lineage: Bacteria
Description: partial 16S ribosomal RNA
Rfam family: Bacterial small subunit ribosomal RNA
Source: RNAcentral
UGGGGGAUAUUGCACAAUGGGCGCAAGCCUGAUGCAGCGACGCCGCGUGGGGGAUGAAGGCCUUCGGGUUGUAAACUUCUUUUGCUCUGAACAAGGCGCACUUUGGGGUGUGUUGAGUGUAGGGGUUGAUUAGCGCCGGCUAACUACGUGCCAGCAGCGGCGGUAAUACGUAGGGCGCGAGCGUUGUCCGGAAUUAUUGGGCGUAAAGGGCUUGUAGGUGGCUGGUUGCGUCUGUCGUGAAAGCUCAUGGCUUAACUGUGGGUUUGCGGUGGGUACGGGCUGGCUUGAGUGCAGUAGGGGAGGCUGGAAUUCCUGGUGUAGCGGUGGAAUGCGCAGAUAUCAGGAGGAAUACCGGUGGCGAAGGCGGGUCUCUGGGCUGUUACUGACACUGAGGAGCGAAAGCAUGGGGAGCGAACAGG